AAAGUGAAGAGUUUGAUCAUGGCUCAGAUUGAACGCUGGCGGCAGGCUUAACACAUGCAAGUCGAGCGGCAUCGGGAAGUAAUGUUUGAGUUAAUGUUAAGUUAAUUGAAUAUUAUUUUGCCGGCGAGCGGCGUACGGGUGAGUAAAAUCUGGGGAUCUGCCUAAUGAAGGGGGAUAACUAUUGGAAACGAUAGCUAAUACCGCAUGAAGUCUUUUUUUUAAGACCAAAGUAGGGGACUCUAUGGUAUUCAUUAUUAGGGCCUUAUGUCAUUAGAUGAACCCAGAUGGGAUUAGCUAGUAGGUGAGGUAAUGGCUCACCUAGGCCACGAUCCCUAGCUGGUCUGAGAGGAUGACCAGCCACACUGGAACUGAGAUACGGUCCAGACUCCUACGGGAGGCAGCAGUGGGGAAUAUUGCACAAUGGGGGAAACCCUGAUGCAGCCAUGCCGUGUGUGUGAAGAAGGCCUUCGGGUUGUAAAGCACUUUUAAUAGGAAAGAAGGCAAUAAUACAAAUAAUAUUAUUGAUUGACGUUACCUAUAGAAUAAGCACCGGCUAACUCCGUGCCAGCAGCCGCGGUAAUACGGAGGGUGCAAGCGUUAAUCGGAAUUACUGGGCGUAAAGAGUACGUAGGCGGUUUUAUUAAGUCAGAUGUGAAAUCCCCGGGCUUAACCUGGGAACUGCAUUUGAAACUGUUAAGCUAGAGUUUUGUAGAGGGGGGUAGAAUUCCAGGUGUAGCGGUGAAAUGCGUAGAGAUCUGGAGGAAUACCAGUGGCGAAGGCGGCCCCCUGGACAAAAACUGACGCUCAGGUACGAAAGCGUGGGGAGCAAACAGGAUUAGAUACCCUGGUAGUCCACGCUGUAAACGAUGUCGAUUUGAAGGUCGUAACCUUUGAGUUGUGGCUUUCGUAGUUAACGCGUUAAAUCGACCGCCUGGGGAGUACGGCCGCAAGGUUAAAACUCAAAUGAAUUGACGGGGGCCCGCACAAGCGGUGGAGCAUGUGGUUUAAUUCGAUGCAACGCGAAGAACCUUACCUACUCUUGACAUCCAGAGAACUAUGUAGAGAUAUAUGGGUGCCUUCGGGAACUCUGAGACAGGUGCUGCAUGGCUGUCGUCAGCUCGUGUUGUGAAAUGUUGGGUUAAGUCCCGCAACGAGCGCAACCCUUAUCCUUUGUUGCCAGCGAUGAAGUCGGGAACUCAAAGGAGACUGCCGAUGAUAAGUCGGAGGAAGGUGAGGAUGACGUCAAGUCAUCAUGGCCCUUAUGGGUAGGGCUACAAACGUGCUACAAUGGCGUAUACAAAGAGAAGCGAUCUUGUAAAAGCUAGCAAAUCUCAUAAAGUGCGUCGUAGUUCGGAUUGGAGUCUGCAACUCGACUCCAUGAAGUCGGAAUCGCUAGUAAUCGUGAAUCAGAAUGUCACGGUGAAUACGUUCCCGGGCCUUGUACACACCGCCCGUCACACCAUGGGAGUGGAUUGCAAAAGAAGCAAGUAGCUUAACCAUUUAAAACAUGGAGGGCGCUUGCCACUUUGUGAUUCAUGACUGGGGUGAAGUCGUAACAAGGUAACCGUAGGGGAACCUGUGGUUGGAUCACCUCCUUA
This is a ribosomal RNA of 1598 nucleotides. It matches the Rfam family "Bacterial small subunit ribosomal RNA". The record is from Rfam.